RNAcentral lists this ribosomal RNA (333 nucleotides) under uncultured eukaryote. RNAcentral's name for it is "partial 18S ribosomal RNA". It matches the Rfam family "Eukaryotic small subunit ribosomal RNA", at positions 1470 to 1796 of the family's 1831-position model. The record is from RNAcentral.
CCCUUAGAUGUCCGGGGCUGCACGCGCGCCACACUGAGUGGAUCAGCGUGUGUCUACCCUUCGCCGAGAGGCGUGGGUAACCCGCUGAACCCCACUCGUGAUAGGGAUUGGGGAUUGCAAUUAUUUCCCAUGAACGAGGAAUUCCCAGUAAGCGCGGGCCAUAAGCUCGCGUUGAUUAAGUCCCUGCCCUUUGUACACACCGCCCGUCGCUACUACCGAUUGGAUGGUUUAGUGAGGUCCUCGGAUCGGCCCCGCCGGGGUCGGUCACGGCCCUGGCGGAGCGCCGAGAAGACGAUCAAACUUGACUAUCUAGAGGAAGUAAAANUCGUANCA